CGGGGUGUAGCUCAGCCUGGUAGAGCACUGCUUUCGGGAGGCAGGGGCCGUGGGUUCAAAUCCCGCCACCCCGACCA
RNAcentral lists this transfer RNA (77 nucleotides) under Chromatiales bacterium. RNAcentral describes it as "tRNA-Pro". It matches the Rfam family "tRNA". Rfam says of the family: Transfer RNA (tRNA) molecules are approximately 80 nucleotides in length. Their secondary structure includes four short double-helical elements and three loops (D, anti-codon, and T loops). The record is from RNAcentral. Lineage: Bacteria; Pseudomonadati; Pseudomonadota; Gammaproteobacteria; Chromatiales.